RNAcentral lists this ribosomal RNA (492 nucleotides) under uncultured bacterium. RNAcentral's name for it is "partial 16S ribosomal RNA". It matches the Rfam family "Bacterial small subunit ribosomal RNA", at positions 29 to 507 of the family's 1533-position model. The record is from RNAcentral.
AGUGAACGCUGGCGGUAGGCCUAACACAUGCAAGUCGAACGGCAGCACAGUAAGAGCUUGCUCUUGCGGGUGGCGAGUGGCGGACGGGUGAGGAAUACAUCGGAAUCUACUUUUUCGUGGGGGAUAACGUAGGGAAACUUACGCUAAUACCGCAUACGACCUACGGGUGAAAGCAGGGGAUCUUCGGACCUUGCGCGAUUGAAUGAGCCGAUGUCGGAUUAGCUAGUUGGCGGGGUAAAGGCCCACCAAGGCGACGAUCCGUAGCUGGUCUGAGAGGAUGAUCAGCCACACUGGAACUGAGACACGGUCCAGACCCCUACGGGAGGCAGCAGUGGGGAAUAUUGGACAAUGGGCGCAAGCCUGAUCCAGCCAUACCGCGUGGGUGAAGAAGGCCUUCGGGUUGUAAAGCCCUUUUGUUGGGAAAGAAAAGCAGCAGGUUAAUACCCCGCUGUUCUGACGGUACCCAAAGAAUAAGCACCGGCUAACUUCGUG